UGAUAUUUUGACAUAUGUAAGCAAUGUA
RNAcentral lists this non-coding RNA (28 nucleotides) under Mus musculus (house mouse). Lineage: Eukaryota; Metazoa; Chordata; Mammalia; Rodentia; Muridae. The record is from RNAcentral.